GUAAUAGGCAUGUCUCCAUCUCGUUCUUUGAUAAUAGCUACUUGAUCCCACCAGAUUAAGGCAUAAUCGGUAAACUCAAGGGCGACCCACCGAGCUUCUUCUCUUCACUAUGAUUGUGGUAGAUGAAGAUGCAAUCAACCUUCUAUUCCCACUCGAGAUAGGCCUCAUGGUCAUUCUUUCCCUUAAAAGCUGGUAUUUAGAACUUGAAGUCAUGGAGGUCCUUAUUUGCCUCUUCAUGACGGCCCCCUUAUCGGUCACCAGCAUCAUACCACAAGACCUUGUCAUUACCAUACUAUUUGGCAUCAAACAUGGCUACAGUUGUCGCCUCACUCCAUGCGAUCCAUGUGUGCAGCCAUGUUCCCCAACUAGACACUUAAUUGGGUGAACAUGUCAAGGACUCGUUCUUUCAUGGUUACAGGUCUACUGUUGGCAUUCUGUUGAGACAUCAUGGAG
RNAcentral lists this long non-coding RNA (453 nucleotides) under Carica papaya (papaya). Its description in RNAcentral is "long non-coding RNA (CPAP_LNC007082)". The record is from RNAcentral. Lineage: Eukaryota; Viridiplantae; Streptophyta; Magnoliopsida; Brassicales; Caricaceae.